UAGUCCACGCCCUAAACGAUGGGUGCUAGCCGUCGGGUCACCAAAUAGCAAUUUAAUUUGCUAUUUGGCGACUCGGUGGCGUAGCUAACGCGUUAAGCACCCCGCCUGGGGAGUACGGCCGCAAGGUUAAAACUCAAAGAAAUUGACGGGGACCCGCACAAGCGGUGGAACAUGUGGUUUAAUUCGAGGCAACGCGAAGAACCUUACCAGGCUUUGACAUGCCCCACGCGGACUCCAGAGACGGAGUCCUUCAGCUCGGCUGGUGGGUGCACAGAUGCUGCAUGGCUGUCGUCAGCUCGUGUCGUGAGAUGUUGGGCUAAGUCCCGCAACGAGCGCAACCCUCAUCCUUUGUUGCUAACAGGUUAUGCUGAGAACUCUAAGGAAACUGCCGGAGUUAAUCCGGGAGGGAAGGGUGGGGGAUGGACGUCAAGUCCUCAUGGCUCUUACAGCCUGGGGCUACACACGUGUUACAA
RNAcentral lists this ribosomal RNA (473 nucleotides) under uncultured bacterium. RNAcentral's name for it is "bacterial SSU rRNA". It matches the Rfam family "Bacterial small subunit ribosomal RNA", at positions 791 to 1230 of the family's 1533-position model. The record is from RNAcentral.